This is a non-coding RNA of Pelobates cultripes (western spadefoot toad), 261 nucleotides long. The record is from the annotation of a GenBank genome assembly. Lineage: Eukaryota; Metazoa; Chordata; Amphibia; Anura; Pelobatidae.
GUCAUAAACAUAAUUUUAUAACAAGACAGGAGGCUCAUAUUAUGCAUUAACUUUCUUUACUAAACUCCAGCAGCAAAGAAUAUUUCAAUAAAGUUUAGUGAAACAAUAUAAGAGGAAAAAAAACAGUCAAGUAACUGCAAUGGAAUAUCCAAUAGCCAAUCAGCAUCCGGGGUAGUUUAUAUGUAGGGAAUGAUCCCCAAUCCUCUUCUUCUUUCUUUGCUGCUCCAGUGGAGAUAAGUAACAUAUAUACAUGCAUUUCAG